GAGGCUGUGAUUCAAAGGAAACUUAAGAAUCCACACAGCAAAUUCUGGAACCCUGAGGAUGAUGAAUGAGGUGCUUAUAGUUGGGUAUGAGACAACCAACCAACAGACAGGAGGAGUAAUAAUGAAAGGACAGAUGUAAAACACUAUUGUCAUUUCAUAAUUUGUGCUUCCAGUGCAGCUGAUUGAGACAGACUAAACUAUAAGACUGGUUCCUAACAAGAAGAAACCUACAUUUAUUUUACAACAGAGACUCCAGACCAUCCUGCAGACAAGAGGAUCUGCCCACCUGUAAUUAUCAACUCCAGAUUGAUUUACAAAGGAACAAAAGCAUAGAAAUACAAGGAAACAAAGAAGACACAUGACAGAAGCAGAGAAGAAGUUUGGUUGAGUGCUCUACUGAAGGUACUACAAAGAGGACUGGAAUCCAGACAGAGCAGAAUGGUUGUGCCAAACUAAAGAAAUAGAGGCAAGAGUUCAGUGAGGCCAUGGUAGCUAGAGUGCACUGGAAGAGAAUAGUAGAGGUAGCCCCAGAGAAAUCUCAGAACUCUGAGGAAAGGUCAUUGGCUAAGCACAUAUGACCACACAAGAAAGACCAUGAAAGUGAGCCGGAAAGAGGCUUCCCAAAGCAAGAUCCAGACUGAUGUGUAUUCUGAACUUAGCUGGAGAUGGGCAUUUACUCCAGUCCUGGGGGCACCGAAGACACCCUUGGAAUGAAACCACCAUAUGAAGAAUCAUCCCUGGGCAAAACACUGCUCUGAGCCUGACAAGGGAAGUAAAAGAGGAAAUUCACUGGGGUCAAAUAGAUAUGAAAUAGCUGAAAAGCAAGCUGAACUGUGGCAAUCUUUAAAAUAAUACUAUAAAACCCGACUUCCAACA
Mastomys coucha (southern multimammate mouse) is the source of this 876-nucleotide long non-coding RNA. RefSeq lists it as uncharacterized. The record is from RefSeq and is a predicted model, not a curated record. The transcript has 3 exons. NCBI's taxonomy places the organism in Eukaryota, Metazoa, Chordata, Mammalia, Rodentia, Muridae.